RNAcentral lists this non-coding RNA (235 nucleotides) under Enterococcus sulfureus. RNAcentral's name for it is "T-box sequence". It matches the Rfam family "T-box leader". Rfam says of the family: Uncharged tRNA acts as the effector for transcription antitermination of genes in the T-box leader family. T-boxes are found upstream of many aminoacyl-tRNA synthetase genes and some amino acid biosynthetic genes usually in Gram-positive bacteria. The record is from RNAcentral. Lineage: Bacteria; Bacillati; Bacillota; Bacilli; Lactobacillales; Enterococcaceae.
UACAUUGCGUGGAAAUGAUAAGUACAAAAAAGAAUCUUUCAUCAGAGAGUCUGGGUAGCUGAAAACAGACAAAGAAGGCAUUUUGGAAAAUGGUCAUGGAGCAAUUCGUUGAAGCGAUAAGCGGGUAAACGACGGGAGCAACCGAUAUUUUGCUAGAGUAUGAUAGUACUUGAAGAGGGAAUGUGCGCGAGCAGAUUCUAAAUUAGAGGUGGUAACGCGAAUUUUCGUCCUCAAA